GGGCAGUCCACGUCGAGGGUGCUGGAACCGGCUCCGUGGUUUGGGCUCCAGAAUUGAUUACCCAUUUACACCCUCCGGUCCUAGAGUUUGUUAACAGUACCUGCGUCUUUCCAUUUCUGUAUGGUGACACCAUCUACUACAACUGCAUCUCCAUCCACAGCGAUUAUGAUUGGUGUUCACUCGACAAGAAAUUCCAAGGCAGAUGGCGAUACUGUACCGGGCAAGAUCCCCCCAAGUGUACCUUCCCCUUCUUCUACGGAAGAAAACUCUUUCACAAAUGCACCAAGGAGGGCUAUGUUUUGAAUCGGAGUUGGUGCUCACUGACAAAAAAUUAUAACCAAGAUGGAAAAUGGAAGCAAUGCUCUCCUCAUGAUCUUUAAAUAAGUCUUGGUGUCCUUGAAGAGACAGAAUUUGUAGGAUUCAUCAGCCACCUCUCAGAAUAUAUCGUUUCCCUGAUUAUUGUGACAAUAAAGAUUUAGCGUCUCUUCCCUG
Zalophus californianus (California sea lion) is the source of this 492-nucleotide long non-coding RNA. RefSeq lists it as uncharacterized. The transcript is spliced from 5 exons. The record is from RefSeq and is a predicted model, not a curated record. Lineage: Eukaryota; Metazoa; Chordata; Mammalia; Carnivora; Otariidae.